RNAcentral lists this transfer RNA (72 nucleotides) under Camelus bactrianus (Bactrian camel). It matches the Rfam family "tRNA". From Rfam's summary of the family: Transfer RNA (tRNA) molecules are approximately 80 nucleotides in length. Their secondary structure includes four short double-helical elements and three loops (D, anti-codon, and T loops). Further hydrogen bonds mediate the characteristic L-shaped molecular structure. tRNAs have two regions of fundamental functional importance: the anti-codon, which is responsible for specific mRNA codon recognition, and the 3' end, to which the tRNAs corresponding amino acid is attached (by aminoacyl-tRNA synthetases). tRNAs cope with the degeneracy of the genetic code in two manners: having more than one tRNA (with a specific anti-codon) for a particular amino acid; and 'wobble' base-pairing, i.e. permitting non-standard base-pairing at the 3rd anti-codon position. The record is from Rfam by way of RNAcentral. RNAcentral also lists the same sequence under 1 other name. Lineage: Eukaryota; Metazoa; Chordata; Mammalia; Artiodactyla; Camelidae.
GAGGGUAUAGUUCAGUGGUAGAGUGCAUGCUUAGCAUGCACGGGGUCCUAGGUUCAAUCCCCAGUACCUCCA